Chiloscyllium plagiosum (whitespotted bambooshark) is the source of this 430-nucleotide non-coding RNA. The record is from RefSeq and is a predicted model, not a curated record. Lineage: Eukaryota; Metazoa; Chordata; Chondrichthyes; Orectolobiformes; Hemiscylliidae.
CAUUACUGUUGCAAGCAGGGCGUUCCACAGCCUCACUACUCUAAGUAAAGAACCUUUCCUCUAAUGUCUGUCCUAGAUCUAUGACAGAUUCCCCAGGGCCAGGGGGGAAUAAAUCUGUGUCAAUCCCCUUCAUCUUCAGAGUCUGGAUUAUUUAAUGAAAUCUCUUCUCAUUCUUCUAGAAUGUAAAGAAUAUUAGCCCAAUUUACACAGCCUCUCAUUGCAGGACAACUCCCACAUCUGAAGGGGCCAAUCCAGUGAAGUUUUGCUGUUUCCCUUUCAAUGAAAAGAAUUGUACCUGGGCACUUCCACCUAAGAUGUCAGCAUGGACAAGUUGGGCCGAAGGCUCUGAGACUCAGGGUGUAGACUCGCAUUUAUUGCUCAGUGCCCUCUUGAACCACUUGGUGAAGGGAUGCUCGGUUCAGUUUGGGAG